Non-coding RNA from Melanotaenia boesemani (Boeseman's rainbowfish), 375 nucleotides. NCBI's taxonomy places the organism in Eukaryota, Metazoa, Chordata, Actinopteri, Atheriniformes, Melanotaeniidae. The record is from the annotation of a RefSeq genome assembly.
AUGUUCUCUGUAGCUCUGCUGCUGCUACUGGCUGCUGGAUCCUGUGUGAAGUGUGAAACACUGACACAACCAGCCUCUAUAACUGUACAGCCAGGUCAGCGUCUGACCGUCACCUGUCAGGUCUCUUAUUCUGUGAGCAGCUACUGGACACACUGGAUCAGACAGCCUGCAGGAAAAGGACUGGAGUGGAUUGGUUAUGGAAUGGUUGGAGGCACCCCAGCCUACAAAGAUUCACUAAAGGACAAGUUCAGUAUCAGUGCAGACUCUUCCAGUAACACAGUGAGUCUGAAUGGACAGAAUAUACAGCCUGAAGACACGGCUGUGUAUUACUGUGCGAGACAGUCCCACAGUAACACAAACCACCAGCAGACCUGA